This is a non-coding RNA of Aedes albopictus (Asian tiger mosquito), 58 nucleotides long. The record is from Rfam. NCBI's taxonomy places the organism in Eukaryota, Metazoa, Arthropoda, Insecta, Diptera, Culicidae.
UAGCCUAGUGGUUAAGGCAAUGAAUCGCCAAUCCAGAGACGGCGGGUUCGAUUCCCGU